RNAcentral lists this ribosomal RNA (767 nucleotides) under Serratia sp. AC36. RNAcentral describes it as "bacterial SSU rRNA". It matches the Rfam family "Bacterial small subunit ribosomal RNA", at positions 18 to 774 of the family's 1533-position model. Lineage: Bacteria; Pseudomonadati; Pseudomonadota; Gammaproteobacteria; Enterobacterales; Yersiniaceae. The record is from RNAcentral.
CAUGGCUCAGAUUGAACGCUGGCGGCAGGCUUAACACAUGCAAGUCGAGCGGUAGCACAGGAGAGCUUGCUCUCUGGGUGACGAGCGGCGGACGGGUGAGUAAUGUCUGGGAAACUGCCUGAUGGAGGGGGAUAACUACUGGAAACGGUAGCUAAUACCGCAUAACGUCGCAAGACCAAAGAGGGGGACCUUCGGGCCUCUUGCCAUCAGAUGUGCCCAGAUGGGAUUAGCUAGUAGGUGGGGUAAUGGCUCACCUAGGCGACGAUCCCUAGCUGGUCUGAGAGGAUGACCAGCCACACUGGAACUGAGACACGGUCCAGACUCCUACGGGAGGCAGCAGUGGGGAAUAUUGCACAAUGGGCGCAAGCCUGAUGCAGCCAUGCCGCGUGUGUGAAGAAGGCCUUCGGGUUGUAAAGCACUUUCAGCGAGGAGGAAGGUGGUGAGCUUAAUACGCUCAUCAAUUGACGUUACUCGCAGAAGAAGCACCGGCUAACUCCGUGCCAGCAGCCGCGGUAAUACGGAGGGUGCAAGCGUUAAUCGGAAUUACUGGGCGUAAAGCGCACGCAGGCGGUUUGUUAAGUCAGAUGUGAAAUCCCCGGGCUCAACCUGGGAACUGCAUUUGAAACUGGCAAGCUAGAGUCUCGUAGAGGGGGGUAGAAUUCCAGGUGUAGCGGUGAAAUGCGUAGAGAUCUGGAGGAAUACCGGUGGCGAAGGCGGCCCCCUGGACGAAGACUGACGCUCAGGUGCGAAAGCGUGGGGAGCAAACA